UCUCCGUAGGUGAACCUGCGGAGGGAUCAUUACUGAGUGAGGGCUCACGCCCGACCUCCAACCCUGUGUGAACACAUCUUGUUGCUUCGGGGGCGACCCUGCCGCUUCGGCGGUGCGGCGCCCCCGGAGGCCAUUAAACACUGCAUCAUUGCGUCGGAGUUAAAGUAAAUUAAACAAAACUUUCAACAACGGAUCUCUUGGUUCCAGCAUCGAUGAAGAACGCAGC
RNAcentral lists this unclassified non-coding RNA (226 nucleotides) under uncultured fungus. Its description in RNAcentral is "sequence contains ITS1, 5.8S rRNA gene". The stretch from base 178 to 226 matches the Rfam family "5.8S ribosomal RNA", at positions 1 to 49 of the family's 154-position model. Lineage: Eukaryota; Fungi. The record is from RNAcentral.